CAGCCGCCGCGGGAAUACGUAGGUCCCGAGCGUUGUCCGGAUUUAUUGGGCGUAAAGCGAGCGCAGGCGGUUAGAUAAGUCUGAAGUUAAAGGCUGUGGCUUAACCAUAGUACGCUUUGGAAACUGUUUAACUUGAGUGCAAGAGGGGAGAGUGGAAUUCCAUGUGUAGCGGUGAAGUGCGUAGAUAUUAGGAAGAACACCAAUGGCGAAGGCAGCUUCUUGGUCCAUUCCUGACGUUCAUACACGAAAGCGUGGGGAGCAAACAGGAUUAGAGACCCCUGUAGUCCCUGUCUCUUAUACA
This 301-nucleotide ribosomal RNA is filed under the name uncultured bacterium. Its description in RNAcentral is "partial 16S ribosomal RNA". It matches the Rfam family "Bacterial small subunit ribosomal RNA", at positions 509 to 808 of the family's 1533-position model. The record is from RNAcentral.